GAUGAACGCUGGCGGCGUGCCUAAUACAUGCAAGUCGAGCGAACAGAUGAGGAGCUUGCUCCUCUGACGUUAGCGGCGGACGGGUGAGUAAUACGUGGAUAACCUACCUAUAAGACUGGGAUAACUUCGGGAAACCGGAGCUAAUACCGGAUAAUAUAUUGAACCGCAUGGUUCAAUAGUGAAAGACGGUUUUGCUGUCACUUAUAGAUGGAUCCGCGCCGCAUUAGCUAGUUGGUAAGGUAACGGCUUACCAAGGCAACGAUGCGUAGCCGACCUGAGAGGGUGAUCGGCCACACUGGAACUGAGACACGGUCCAGACUCCUACGGGAGGCAGCAGUAGGGAAUCUUCCGCAAUGGGCGAAAGCCUGACGGAGCAACGCCGCGUGAGUGAUGAAGGUCUUCGGAUCGUAAAACUCUGUUAUUAGGGAAGAACAAAUGUGUAAGUAACUAUGCACGUCUUGACGGUACCUAAUCAGAAAGCCACGGCUAACUACGUG
RNAcentral lists this ribosomal RNA (497 nucleotides) under uncultured bacterium. Its description in RNAcentral is "partial 16S ribosomal RNA". It matches the Rfam family "Bacterial small subunit ribosomal RNA", at positions 28 to 507 of the family's 1533-position model. The record is from RNAcentral.